RNAcentral lists this ribosomal RNA (241 nucleotides) under Acinetobacter baumannii. RNAcentral's name for it is "partial 16S ribosomal RNA". It matches the Rfam family "Bacterial small subunit ribosomal RNA", at positions 219 to 459 of the family's 1533-position model. Lineage: Bacteria; Pseudomonadati; Pseudomonadota; Gammaproteobacteria; Moraxellales; Moraxellaceae. The record is from RNAcentral.
CAUCAGAUGUGCCCAGAUGGGAUUAGCUAGUAGGUGGGGUAACGGCUCACCUAGGCGACGAUCCCUAGCUGGUCUGAGAGGAUGACCAGCCACACUGGAACUGAGACACGGUCCAGACUCCUACGGGAGGCAGCAGUGGGGAAUAUUGCACAAUGGGCGCAAGCCUGAUGCAGCCAUGCCGCGUGUGUGAAGAAGGCCUUCGGGUUGUAAAGCACUUUCAGCGGGGAGGAAGGCGGUGAGG